This is a long non-coding RNA of Myotis lucifugus (little brown bat), 744 nucleotides long. RefSeq lists it as uncharacterized. The record is from RefSeq and is a predicted model, not a curated record. Lineage: Eukaryota; Metazoa; Chordata; Mammalia; Chiroptera; Vespertilionidae. The transcript has 2 exons.
CUUCCUCCCUGUCAUGUUAGGGGUGAGUAUCGCCGCCUCAAUAGGCCUCACUGGGGGGCCCUCGGGAACAGUCUGGUCACUGCUCAGCACUUUAAUGACAAGCUCCAGUUAGCCCUGGAGUCUACUACUGUCUCUUUUAGCCUCCCUACAGCAGCAAGUGACAUCAGUAGCCCAAGUAGCCCUACAGAACCAGCGCACCUUAGACCUUCUGACUGCAAAAAGAGGAGGAACCUGCAUAUUCCUUCAGGAAGAAUGCUGUUAACUACAUCAAGUCCGGAGUAGUGGAGCAAAAUCCCCGUGCCUCCUCAAGUUCAUCCGCUCCCGGAUCGCAGAGAUGUCACGGGUGACUGUGAAUCAGCUCCUGCUCCAUCCCUACACUCGGCUCCCCUCCGACCCGACUCUGCCUAACCCCGGCCUUUAACCGCCGCCCCCCUCGUCGUCCCUGUUCAGCUGGAAGCAGUCAGAGAGUCGCCGACCCUUAUCACCAAAAGGCCGGGAUGUUAGGUCGGAGGGAGCCCGGAGCCCGGGAUCGGAUACAUGCGGACAUGGGAUGAGACAAUGGACUUCCUCUGGAAUUUCUCACAGAUCUGGAAUCUCUCACGGGUCAGCGUGCCAGACACAGAUACCUGCUUCUCCUUGAAGUUCACAGAGAUCCCCGCACAAGAUACUGACCCAUUCCUGAAUGUGCCGCCCACCCCCUGCGGCCGAGACUCCCUCAGUUGAAUGUGUGAUGAUCCCUGCUGA